CUCAAAUUAAAAUUUUGCAUCCUUCUGGAGUGUCAAUUCCAUGUAACAUGGGACUUGCUAUUUGAACGAAUUUUACCUUCAAAUUCUGGUAGCAUAUGUCAUAAAAUUUUGACAAAGAAAAAGAAAAUUGAAUUAAGCAAUUCAGUACGAUCUUCCAAAUAGAAAAAAGAAACACCAUAAUUCAAAAAUCUUAACAAGAUACAAAAGAAUUCACAUACCAAAAAAGUAGAAAAUACAAAGAAUUGAAGGUAAACAACCAACCAAAGUAAAAUGAACAAAUACAGGGGGUCAGCUUUUAGGAUACUAGAAUAAUUAUAAAGCAAAAAAAGAAAGUUCUAGCUAGUACUUGUACAACUUAUUACUAGUAAAAAUAAAAUAAAAAAUUAUUGAGAAAUGUCCCUCCUCUUCAACCUCAAAAUCAUUUCCAGCUGUUCCAUCCAACACCCACAAAUAAUUAAAAACAAAAAAAGUUUCUCCCACAAUGAAUGUGAUGUUGUACCUUAAUAUCAUGGAUACCAAUACCAUGCCAAAGAGCAUUCAUGUGAGAAUUCAACCACCAUAAUAACCUCAACCAAUUCAACUAUACUUAGCUUGCAAUCAAUAUUUUCCAACACCAUCUUUAAUCCACCUCAACCACCCCACCCCUACCCCUCUCUC
RNAcentral lists this long non-coding RNA (657 nucleotides) under Solanum tuberosum (potato). Its description in RNAcentral is "long non-coding RNA (STUB_LNC002193)". The record is from RNAcentral. Lineage: Eukaryota; Viridiplantae; Streptophyta; Magnoliopsida; Solanales; Solanaceae.